Molecule: ribosomal RNA, 774 nt
Filed under: uncultured Neocallimastigales
Lineage: Eukaryota; Fungi; Neocallimastigomycota; Neocallimastigomycetes; Neocallimastigales
Description: partial large subunit ribosomal RNA
Rfam family: Eukaryotic large subunit ribosomal RNA
Source: RNAcentral
AGAGAGAGACAUGCGCGCAUAUCAAUAAGCGGAGGAAAAGAAACUAACUAGGAUUCCCUCAGUAACGGCGAGUGAAGCGGGAAGAGCUCAAAUUUGAAAUCUUCAAGGUUCUACCUUGACGAAUUGUAGUUUAAAGAAGUGUUUUCUGUUGGAGUUUUGGUAAAAGUUCUUUGGAAUAGGACAUCAUAGAGGGUGAGAAUCCCGUAUUUGACCAUUAUUUCCAGCUUUGUGAUACACUUUCAAAGAGUCGGAUUGUUUGGGAAUGCAGUCCAAAAUGGGUGGUAAAUUUCAUCUAAAGCUAAAUAUUGGCGAGAGACCGAUAGCGAACAAGUACCGUGAGGGAAAGAUGAAAAGAACUUUGAAAAGAGAGUUAAACAGUACGUGAAAUUGUCAAAAGGGAAGCGUUUGACACCAGUGUUGUUUUUCUCGAAAAUCAAUUAAAAAAGGCAGGAUUUUGUGUUGUAUUGACUUUAUCAGCUUUCUGCACUCUUUUCUUGUCUUUUUUAAUGCACUUUUCGUUUAACAAGUCAACAUCAAUUUCUUUUGUUGUAAAAGGGUCAUUGGAAGGUGGCUUUCUUUUCGGAGAAAGUGUUUAUAGCCUUUGGCCUCUGCAAUCGGAGAGAUUGAGGUCUACAGCGUAGAUCCUUCGGGGUUAGAUACAUUUGUGCUAAGUUAUAGCCUUUCAUAGACAACUUGUUGACUAUGAUCAGUCAUGUAGCUUACUCGCUUAUGCUAUUUUACCUACGCUUAGGAUGUUGAUGUGAUACUGCGAGC